Molecule: ribosomal RNA, 746 nt
Filed under: uncultured bacterium
Lineage: Bacteria
Description: bacterial SSU rRNA
Rfam family: Bacterial small subunit ribosomal RNA
Source: RNAcentral
UAUUCACUGAUCUUCGCAUGGGGGUUGGUGGAAAGGUUUUUUCUGGUGGGGGAUGGGCUCGCGGCCUAUCAGCUUGUUGGUGGGGUGAUGGCCUACCAAGGCUUUGACGGGUAGCCGGCCUGAGAGGGUGACCGGUCACAUUGGGACUGAGAUACGGCCCAGACUCCUACGGGAGGCAGCAGUGGGGAAUAUUGCACAAUGGGCGAAAGCCUGAUGCAGCGACGCCGCGUGAGGGAUGGAGGCCUUCGGGUUGUAAACCUCUUUCGCUCAUGGUCAAGCCGCAACUUAGGGUUGUGGUGAGGGUAGUGGGUAAAGAAGCGCCGGCUAACUACGUGCCAGCAGCCGCGGUAAUACGUAGGGCGCGAGCGUUGUCCGGAAUUAUUGGGCGUAAAGGGCUUGUAGGCGGUUGGUCGCGUCUGCCGUGAAAUCCUCUGGCUUAACUGGGGGCGUGCGGUGGGUACGGGCUGACUUGAGUGCGGUAGGGGAGACUGGAACUCCUGGUGUAGCGGUGGAAUGCGCAGAUAUCAGGAAGAACACCGGUGGCGAAGGCGGGUCUCUGGGCCGUUACUGACGCUGAGGAGCGAAAGCGUGGGGAGCGAACAGGAUUAGAUACCCUGGUAGUCCACGCUGUAAACGUUGGGCACUAGGUGUGGGGGCCACCCGUGGUUUCUGCGCCGUAGCUAACGCUUUAAGUGCCCCGCCUGGGGAGUACGGCCGCAAGGCUAAAACUCAAAGGAAUUGACGGU